This 460-nucleotide ribosomal RNA is filed under the name uncultured bacterium. RNAcentral describes it as "partial 16S ribosomal RNA". It matches the Rfam family "Bacterial small subunit ribosomal RNA", at positions 338 to 795 of the family's 1533-position model. The record is from RNAcentral.
CCUACGGGAGGCAGCAGUGAGGAAUAUUGGUCAAUGGACGAGAGUCUGAACCAGCCAAGCAGCGUGAAGGAUGACUGCUCUAUGGGUUGUAAACUUCUUUUAUAUGGGAAUAAAACAGGGUAUGCAUACCCUCUUGUAUGUACCAUAUGAAUAAGGAUCGGCUAACUCCGUGCCAGCAGCCGCGGUAAUACGGAGGAUCCGAGCGUUAUCCGGAUUUAUUGGGUUUAAAGGGAGCGUAGGUGGAUUGGUAAGUCAGUUGUGAAAGUUUGCGGCCCAACCGUAAAAUUGCAGUUGAAACUGGCAGUCUGGAGUACAGUAGAGGUGAGCGGAAUUCGUGGUGUAGCGGUGAAAUGCUUAGAUAUCACGAAGAACUCCGAUUGCGAAGGCAGCUCACUGGACUGCAACUGACACUGAUGCUCGAAAGCGUGGGUAUCAAACAGGAUUAGAUACCCGGGUAGUC